RNAcentral lists this ribosomal RNA (391 nucleotides) under uncultured eukaryote. Its description in RNAcentral is "SSU rRNA". It matches the Rfam family "Eukaryotic small subunit ribosomal RNA", at positions 587 to 972 of the family's 1831-position model. The record is from RNAcentral.
AGCUCCAAGAGCGUAUAUUAAAGUUGUUGCAGUUAAAAAGCUCGUAGUUGGAUUUCUGGUACAAUGCGCCUGGCCCGCGGCGGUUACGCCUGUGAGUGCCGGUGCGCGUUUGCCAUCCUUCUAGAAAACGUUUCUACCCUUCACUGGGCCGGACUCGCGAUCUAGAUCUUUUACUUUGAAAAAAUUAGAGUGUUUAACGCAGGCGAUUCGCCACUGAAUACAUUAGCAUGGAAUAAUAAUCUAGGACUUCGGUUCUAUUUUGUUGGUUUCUAGUACUGAAGUAAUGAUUGAUAGGGAUAGUUGGGGGUGCUAGUAUUGGCCGGCCAGAGGUGAAAUUCUUGGAUUCGGUCAAGACUAACUUAUGCGAAAGCAUUCACCAAGGAUGUCUUCU